This 1764-nucleotide ribosomal RNA is filed under the name Triticum aestivum (bread wheat). RNAcentral describes it as "partial small subunit ribosomal RNA". The record is from RNAcentral. Lineage: Eukaryota; Viridiplantae; Streptophyta; Magnoliopsida; Poales; Poaceae.
AUGGGCGGCAAUGGAGGUGGCUUCAGUGGCAACAUGAUCAGUUGCAUGGGAGGUGGCUUCGGUGGCAACACAAGCGACAUGGGAGGUGGCUUCGAUGGCAACAUGAGUGGCAUGGAAGAUGGCUUUGGCGGCAACAUGGGCAUGGGAGGUGGCAAUGAAGGUGCUUUCAGUGGAGUUCACGGCAACGAGACAUCAACUCAUGAAGACGUCGACAAAGAAGCCAUUAAUGAUGAUGAUCAUACCACCAUCAACAAGCAACGGCGAUCAGCCUUUUUUAAUCCGAGCGUGCGGUGGGGGCCGUCCUCAUCCCUUCGAGACGCCCCCAUUCCCAUCUUGCCUCCCACAGUGCUCCCCCGUCGACGACAAACCCUAGCCACUGCCAUGGGCUUCUUCUCCGGCAAGGGCAAGGCCCCCCACCCCUUCCCUUGCCCCCUCCUCCGCCGGCCGCGGCAACACAUCAACGUCCCAGUGCACCAGGCGAACUGGCACUGGGAGCACCGCGUCCCCCUCCCCUAUCCUGACGUGACACUGCCAGACGAUUGGCACUUGGAUCCGGAGACAAUCCCAGUGUCGGCGGUGUCGUGGUCGGCGAGGGCGCGCACGGAGGAGUGGCACCGGCGGCAUCUGCUGACGCCGGAGCAGCUGCGCGACCCCGCAUACGCCUCCGACUCUCCCGCUUGGGAGCAGUGGUUCGCGUUCGAGCACGAGGAGGCAGGAGGAGCGACGUCCGUGACGUGUGGCAUGGCUCCCCGCCGCCGCCCCUCGUCGUGCUCGACGAGGACCAGGAGGCGGAGGCCGCCUACUAGGCGGCUGCCGGCACAGUCCCCCGUCAAGGCCGAGCCGCCGCCGAUCCCAUCGAGCGCUACUCGUGGGACGGGGUGGUGCAUGAGUGAGUUAGGGCGCCACCGAUCUGGUACGGGGCGACACAGGAGCAGACCUACCUGGAGCACUAGCGGCAGCGGAGGAGCGGCGCGAGGGCGAGCGGCUCGAGCAGCUGGAGCUCAACGUGGAGGAGGAGCGUCUUGCCCGCGGUGGGGCUGCCUAGCCGGCGGACGACGUCGCCGCAGCCUGGGAGACGACGUUCCCUUGGGCUGGCCCGGCGCCGACGCUCAUCGACCUCACCGGAUCCGACGACGACGACGAGCACGCCUAGGACAUUGCGGUCCGGCGCGGCGGAAAAAGCCGCAGCUGCGUGGAAGGCAAACCAUGAUCGCCGUCAGUAAAGUGGAGAUCCACGUCACCCCCUCCAUCCAUCUUCAUCCCCGGGAUCAGCUGAGGCGACAACUCAGCAGCCACCACGCUUGUACCGCCAUGAAUCAACCGCCGCAGAAGAUCCAGCAUCCAGGACAAGGAAAAAACGUCGCGCUCGGCCCAGCCUUCAGCAUCAAGGAUGUCCCUUUGAGCCGCCCACCCACUCGCCGCGGCUCCCCUUCUUCCUCCCAUCGCAUUCUUCCCGCACACAAUCCAUCUUUCUUUAUUCUUCCCUUCCACUCUUCAUUUGAGUCUAAUCCCGUUUCUUCCCUCGUCCGACGCCCAACUUCCGCUCCCCCGCAGUUCACAUCACCUUUGCUUCGGCUUUCUUGCCGCCCGCGGGCCGCCGUUGAACUCGAACUCGACAAGAAGAAAGAAGCCAAGCACUCCACGGAACCUCCCACCACAAGCCGAGAGAUUCCAGACGGAAGCUUUGGUUCCAAGAACCCGAGGGAGGAAUCCCAGGAGAGAAGCCAAGAAAUCGAAACAAGGAUAGUAGUAGUGCUACUGUAG